ACGCACGCUGGCGGCGUGCUUCACACCUGCCAGUCGAACGGAAAGGCCCUGCUUUUGUGGGGUGCUCGAGUGGCGAACGGGUGAGUAACACGUGAGUAACCUGCCCUUGACUUUGGGAUAACUUCAGGAAACUGGGGCUAAUACCGGAUAGGAGCUCCUGCUGCAUGGUGGGGGCUGGAAAGUUUCGGCGGUUGGGGAUGGACUCGCGGCUUAUCAGCUUGUUGGUGGGGUAGUGGCUUACCAAGGCUUUGACGGGUAGCCGGCCUGAGAGGGUGACCGGCCACAUUGGGACUGAGAUACGGCCCAGACUCCUACGGGAGGCAGCAGUGGGGAAUAUUGCACAAUGGGCGGAAGCCUGAUGCAGCAACGCCGCGUGCGGGAUGACGGCCUUCGGGUUGUAAACCGCUUUCGCCUGUGACGAAGCGUGAGUGACGGUAAUGGGUAAAGAAGCACCGGCUAACUACGUG
This 467-nucleotide ribosomal RNA is filed under the name uncultured bacterium. Its description in RNAcentral is "partial 16S ribosomal RNA". It matches the Rfam family "Bacterial small subunit ribosomal RNA", at positions 29 to 507 of the family's 1533-position model. The record is from RNAcentral.